CCCCUGAAAAAAAAUUAUUUUAAAAAUAGCCUCAGCAAAUUUAUGUUUGUAAAAAUGGCCUUAAUCCUGCCACGCACGUGCCACGUCAGCGCCAUGUGAGCGGGGUUAGGGUCAAUUUGUUAAGUUAAAUACGGUGAACCAUUCACUGCACCGUGUUUAGGAAAAAUACAAAUAUAUGUGUUGUAAAAAAAUAUAAAUAUUGAAAAGGAGGAAUAAGAGAGAGAUAAGUAUGGAAUACGGUGAACCAUUCACCGUAUUUGAACACGGUAAAUGAUUCACUGUGUUUAAUUUAACAUUCCUCCGGCUUGCGUGGCGCUGAUGUUGGCGCAUGCAUGACGGGGAUAGGGCCAAAUUUAUAAUUAUAAAUUUGAUAGGACUACUUCUUAAAAAAAAAAAAAAGAAAAUU
RNAcentral lists this long non-coding RNA (406 nucleotides) under Ananas comosus (pineapple). RNAcentral's name for it is "long non-coding RNA (ACOM_LNC031369)". The record is from RNAcentral. Lineage: Eukaryota; Viridiplantae; Streptophyta; Magnoliopsida; Poales; Bromeliaceae.